AGGGUGGGCACUGGAGGCCCAGGCCACCCCAUCCCCCAGCUCUGUGCCCCCCCACCUCAGGACUUGAAGGCGCCAGGAGCUGAGGCCACCACUUCUAGAGGAGUCCCUCCGAAGGACACUUGAGCGCCCGUCACCGCCAGGGCCUGAGGCCGCAAGCGCGGGGAGGCGGCUCGUCGGAAAGGCAGCGUGGGCGGCCCGGCCUGCUGUGGGGGUGACAGGUGACACGGGACUGUCUGAAUCAUCUACGAAACAGGAAACCCCGCUUUGCACCAGUUCCAAGGGCUAAACGCGCGCGUAAACGGUCCACACGGGGCGGCGCGCAGAGAAAGGUCCGGUCAGCGAUGUUCAGAAAUGAAGCGCUUAAAUUAUAGCAGAAGCAACGAUGCCACCAUCAGACAUCCCGACAGGCUUGUUCCUUCGGGGCCCCUCCCCCCGCCCCCCUGCCGGGCCCACGGUGCCCCCUCAGCACCGCUCUGCUCCUGACGUUCAGGCGUCUACGCCAGAGAUGGUCCGACUGGGGAGCCCGGUCCGUCAUGGCCUCCGUCCCCUUAGCCACGCUGGGUCCUUUGGGGCAGCGCAGCGUGACAGGUGCGUUCCCACCGUCUGCACAGCAUUCAGCGCGUGGUACCAGCUGGACCAUGCUCGUCCCGAUGUGGUUUACUCCACGCGAGUGUCUGUGUGGCAGAGGAUUUACUAAAAAUUUCAGAUUUCCCCCCAAA
Molecule: long non-coding RNA, 719 nt
Organism: Hyaena hyaena (striped hyena)
Lineage: Eukaryota; Metazoa; Chordata; Mammalia; Carnivora; Hyaenidae
Exons: 3
Source: RefSeq, a predicted model, not a curated record